AUAAAAGAUUAAGUUAUUAAGGGCGCACGGUGGAUGCCUUGGCACUAGAAGCCGAUGAAGGACGUUACUAACGACGAUAUGCCGGU
RNAcentral lists this ribosomal RNA (86 nucleotides) under Staphylococcus schleiferi. Its description in RNAcentral is "partial 23S ribosomal RNA". Lineage: Bacteria; Bacillati; Bacillota; Bacilli; Caryophanales; Staphylococcaceae. The record is from RNAcentral.